GACGAACGCUGGCGGCGGGCUUAACACAUGCAAGUCGAACGGAAAGGCCCUGCUUUUGUGGGGUGCUCGAGUGGCGAACGGGUGAGUAACACGUGAGUAACCUGCCCUUGACUUUGGGAUAACUUCAGGAAACUGGGGCUAAUACCGGAUAGGAGCUCCUGCUGCAUGGUGGGGGUUGGAAAGUUUCGGCGGUUGGGGAUGGACUCGCGGCUUAUCAGCUUGUUGGUGGGGUAGUGGCUUACCAAGGCUUUGACGGGUAGCCGGCCUGAGAGGGUGACCGGCCACAUUGGGACUGAGAUACGGACCAGACUCCUACGGGAGGCAGCAGUGGGGAAUAUUGUACAAUGGGCGGAAGCCUGAUGCAGCAACGCCGCGUGCGGGAUGACGGCCUUCGGGUUGUAAACCGCUUUCGCCUGUGACGAAGCGUGAGUGACGGUAAUGGGUAAAGAAGCACCGGCUAACUACGUG
RNAcentral lists this ribosomal RNA (468 nucleotides) under uncultured bacterium. RNAcentral describes it as "partial 16S ribosomal RNA". It matches the Rfam family "Bacterial small subunit ribosomal RNA", at positions 28 to 507 of the family's 1533-position model. The record is from RNAcentral.